GACGAACGCUGGCGGCGUGCUUAACACAUGCAAGUCGAACGGAAAGGCCCUGCUUUUGUGGGGUGCUCGAGUGGCGAACGGGUGAGUAACACGUGAGUAACCUGCCCUUGACUUUGGGAUAACUUCAGGAAACUGGGGCUAAUACCGGAUAGGAGCUCCUGCUGCAUGGUGGGGGUUGGAAAGUUUCGGCGGUUGGGGAUGGACUCGCGGCUUAUCAGCUUGUUGGUGGGGUAGUGGCUUACCAAGGCUUUGACGGGUAGCCGGCCUGAGAGGGUGACCGGCGACAUUGGGACUGAGAGACGGCCCAGACUCCUACGGGAGGCAGCAGGGGGGAAUAUUGCACAAUGGGCGGAAGCCGGAUGCAGCAACGCCGCGUGCGGGAUGACGGCCUUCGGGUUGUAAACCGCUGUCGCCUGUGACGAAGCGUGAGUGACGGUAAUGGGUAAAGAAGCACCGGCUAACUACGUG
This 468-nucleotide ribosomal RNA is filed under the name uncultured bacterium. Its description in RNAcentral is "partial 16S ribosomal RNA". It matches the Rfam family "Bacterial small subunit ribosomal RNA", at positions 28 to 507 of the family's 1533-position model. The record is from RNAcentral.